Molecule: ribosomal RNA, 496 nt
Filed under: uncultured bacterium
Lineage: Bacteria
Description: partial 16S ribosomal RNA
Rfam family: Bacterial small subunit ribosomal RNA
Source: RNAcentral
AUGAACGCUGGCGGCGUGCCUAAUACAUGCACGUCGAGCGAACAGAUGAGGAGCUUGCUCCUCUGACGUUAGCGGCGGACGGGUGAGUAACACGUGGAUAACCUACCUAUAAGACUGGGAUAACUUCGGGAAACCGGAGCUAAUACCGGAUAAUAUAUUGAACCGCAUGGUUCAAUAGUGGAAGACGGUUUUGCUGUCACUUAUAGAUGGAUCCGCGCCGCAUUAGCUAGUUGGUAAGGUAACGGCUUACCAAGGCAACGAUGCGUAGCCGACCUGAGAGGGUGAUCGGCCACACUGGAACUGAGACACGGUCCAGACUCCUACGGGAGGCAGCAGUAGGGAAUCUUCCGCAAUGGGCGAAAGCCUGACGGAGCAACGCCGCGUGAGUGAUGAAGGUCUUCGGAUCGUAAAACUCUGUUAUUAGGGAAGAACAAAUGUGUAAGUAACUAUGCACGUCUUGACGGUACCUAAUCAGAAAGCCACGGCUAACUACGUG